RNAcentral lists this ribosomal RNA (253 nucleotides) under uncultured bacterium. RNAcentral describes it as "partial 16S ribosomal RNA". It matches the Rfam family "Bacterial small subunit ribosomal RNA", at positions 524 to 776 of the family's 1533-position model. The record is from RNAcentral.
UACGGGGGGGGCAAGCGUUGUUCGGAAUUACUGGGCGUAAAGGGCUCGUAGGCGGCCAACUAAGUCGGAUGUGAAAUCCCCAGGCUCAACUUGGGAACUGCAUCCGAUACUGGAUGGCUUGAAUUCGGGAGAGGGAUGCAGAAUUCCAGGUGUAGCGGUGAAAUGCGUAGAUAUCUGGAGGAACACCGGUGGCGAAGGCGGCGUUCUGGACUGCAACUGACACUGAAAAACGAAAGCCAGGGGAGCAAACGGG